GAACCGGCAGGUGGCAGGGGCCUCCGGGGGCGGCGGAGGAGGCGGUGGAGGAGACCCGCGGCUCUCAGUGGCCGGCCGCCCUCGGUCGUGACCCCCUCUCAGUCUUCUUCCGACCUCAUCGCCGACGCCUCAUACCCGACCUCGACCCAGGUUAGGCCCGAGGCACUCGCUCCUCUUCCGCGGCCUCAUGUUGGACAACUCCGUCCAGAUUCUGAUCGCCCUCUUCGGCGGCUACGUCGUCACUUCGGUCAUCUUGCUCCGCAACCCGACCAUCCUCUACAGGAAGAAGAAGAUCAAAUUCACCUGCAGGCACAUCAGCCAUCGCGGAGGGGCUGGAGAAAAUUACGAAAAUACGAUUACAGCCUUUAAAAGAGCUAUCGCGUUAGGCACGGAUAUGUUGGAAAUCGACUGUCAUCUGACUAAAGACAACCAGGUGGUCGUGUGCCACGACAGCAAUCUACUAAGGAACACCGGGCUCAACAAGAACAUCUCCGAGCUCAACUACAGCGACCUGCCGCUGAUAAGCACGACAUUACCCAUCGACUUCGACCCAGGGUCCUCAUUCACGGGGAGCUGUCGAGAAGAUGAGAGGCGGAUACCCCUCCUCGACGAGGUCUUCGAAAGGUUCCCGUCGAUCCCGAUCAAUAUCGACGUCAAAGCUAACAACGACCUCCUCAUCAGGGAGAUCAACAGGCUGAUCACAAACCACAGAAGGGAGGAGAUUACCGUCUGGGGUAGCUUCAGUAACGACAUCACCUACAAAUGCUACCUCCAGAAUCCAAAGGUGAACCUCCUAUUCUCGUUGAGGCAAGUGGUCCGACUAAUCCUCCUCUUCUACACAGGCCUCCUUCCUUUCUUCCCCAUUAAGGAGACCCACUUGGAGAUUUUCCAGCCGUCUAUGUACCUCAAACCAGCAUGGAGAAGUCACUCAAGGGAGAGAGAGGGAAAUUUCAUGAUGACUUUGCCAACAUUUUUAGUCCACACAAUGGACUAUUUACUAAUGAGUAAAAUUUUAUUCGCUCAUUUAAGAAAACGAGGAAUUCAGACGUAUGUUUGGGUUCUGAACCAUGAGAACGAGUUCAAAAAGGUGUAUGACUUGGGGGUGACAGGGAUCAUGACUGACUACCCUUCCAAGUUGAAAAAAUUUCUCGACGACAACCCGGAUUACCGUUGUACAAAGGAUCCGCCGCAGGCGGACAAGGAAGAGUACUAAAUUGUUCGACUACCCCCUGACAAAAAUUUUGUGAUAAAAACUUAUACUAUCUAUCAAAACCAGAUGUAGCACAAUAUUGUCUAGACAAAUAUUUUGGAAUCACUUUACAAGAUCUCUUUUUAAAAUGAAACCAUGAAAGAUUUAUUUAUUGUUUAAUAAAAAUGACUUUUUUUUAUUAAAAUGAUGUCAU
This 1403-nucleotide unclassified non-coding RNA is filed under the name Cimex lectularius (bed bug). Its description in RNAcentral is "lysophospholipase D GDPD1-like, transcript variant X1". The record is from RNAcentral. Lineage: Eukaryota; Metazoa; Arthropoda; Insecta; Hemiptera; Cimicidae.